Long non-coding RNA from Branchiostoma belcheri (Belcher's lancelet), 368 nucleotides. RefSeq lists it as uncharacterized. NCBI's taxonomy places the organism in Eukaryota, Metazoa, Chordata, Leptocardii, Amphioxiformes, Branchiostomatidae. The record is from RefSeq and is a predicted model, not a curated record. The transcript has 3 exons.
GUCCUGUGCAGGUUUGUGGCAGACACGGUCGUCGUGACAUUUUCUGAUGGGAAGGCAGCGCUACAAGCUGUGGAACUGGACGGAACAGAGGUGCGUGGGCAUGUGGUACAGGUGUGGCUGGCGAGUCAGGACUGGCAGGGGCACCUGGAGCGGGAGAUGAGCCUGUGCAGUAUCGCUCAGAGCCCAUCUUCAUUCUUCAACGCUGCAGCCAACAGCCUGCUGGGAGAGGAGUUUGAAACACCACAGAUCAGCUUUGAGAUGGAGGGUGAUGUGGAUGAUCCUGCAGACAUCUUUGACAACGAUCUCGAGGCAGAACUUCCUGCUCCCCUGGCCCCUACAUCCCUCACCCCCUCCCCUUCCCCCACCCC